Long non-coding RNA from Cygnus olor (mute swan), 829 nucleotides. RefSeq lists it as uncharacterized. The transcript is spliced from 2 exons. Lineage: Eukaryota; Metazoa; Chordata; Aves; Anseriformes; Anatidae. The record is from RefSeq and is a predicted model, not a curated record.
AAAAAAAAAAGGGGGGGGGGGAGAAAGCUGUAUGGAAACUCUCAAGUUUCAUCCUGCUUUCUCAGAACUAAGUUGGAGAAAUUUUAUAUGGAAAUGUUACAAUUUUUUUUGCUUUGCCUAUUUUUUUUAUUUAUUAAGAUAAGUCUAAGACAUUGCCUUGAGCUUAACGUUGGGAGAGUAAAAUUCAGGUGCAGUUCUGAAGUUGCUGCAAGCGCCGAGCUCAGUGCCACUUGAGGUUCAUCACAGCAGCAUAUGGAUGUCUACGUUAAGUUUUGACGACAGUAUAUAUUUUUUAUAUGUUUCAUGCAUUGUGAGGUAACUUCAUGUGGUACACCCAUCGUGUACAUUGGGCCAGCCCCACGGAGGAGCCCUGUUCUCUUUGCUUACGGCAGGGUGAGGGAGGAGCAAUGAGGACUUGGGAUGCAGGCAGUGCAAGUCGGCACCUGGAGGUGGGUGGUCAGGACGGCCCCAGUCAGCUGGUGAGUGCUGCUCUGAGGAGUGCUAAGGAGUGUGCAGGCGCUGGGGAGUGAAAAUGAGAAUUGUAGGGCACCUCUGUUUAAUUCCCACUCUCAUGUUUCCAGCCUUCUCCUGGGACUGCAGCUACCUGAGCAGUGCGAUGCGGCUGAAGUCAUUGUUGAAAGUCAUGGUAGUCUCUGGAAGCUCUUCUGAACACGUGAAAAGAAACCAUGAGCCAAACAGAAGGAAGGAGCUGGAGGUGUAAUUGUCAACCCGUGUGUGUCUCUGAUUUCACCAGCUACUGCACGUGUAUAGUUUAUCAAUUUAUUUCUGUUAGAAAGUAAACAAAUCUCACUUUUCUUAGGCGCUCUCA